This is a transfer RNA of 76 nucleotides. It matches the Rfam family "tRNA". Rfam says of the family: Transfer RNA (tRNA) molecules are approximately 80 nucleotides in length.
AGGGCGGUAGCUCAAUUGGUAGAGCACUCGGCUCCAAACCGAGCGGUUGCGGGUUCAAGUCCUGUCCGCCCUGCCA